AUGGUGUGCGAACGACAUCCCGCAAAUCCAAUAACUUCGAAUUGGAAACAGAAACAAAGAAGAUAAUGAAAGGAAUGCCAGAGAAGUAUCGAAAACGAUGUGUGACUGAAAAGUUGAUAUCGAAUGAAUGUGAAACUGACAGCACCUCAGACCAUCCUGGCACUUCCGCGGACAGUGAGUAGAGUAUGUUAAAGAGCUCUUGAACGACAGUGAGAGAGAAUCAACUCCCAUUGGUCGGCAACAAUUGAGAAUAACCGUAUAAUUCAAGAAUUCAACCUGGAGUACUCGGAGAAACCCUCCAAUUUUAAAGUGUUAAUCAAGAUUAACAAAGAGGGACAAUUUCAGUCUCAAUCAAGACACUUUGCAAUAAAGCUCAACCUGGAUGGAAUAAUCUUGAAGAGACG
This is a long non-coding RNA of Daphnia magna, 404 nucleotides long. RefSeq lists it as uncharacterized. The transcript is spliced from 3 exons. Lineage: Eukaryota; Metazoa; Arthropoda; Branchiopoda; Diplostraca; Daphniidae. The record is from RefSeq and is a predicted model, not a curated record.